AAGAAAGAUGGAGUCGUGCUUAACACAUGCAAGUCGAACGGAAAGGCCCUGCUUUUGUGGGGUGCUCGAGUGGCGAACGGGUGAGUAACACGUGAGUAACCUGCCCUUGACUUUGGGAUAACUUCAGGAAACUGGGGCUAAUACCGGAUAGGAGCUCCUGCUGCAUGGUGGGGGUUGGAAAGUUUCGGCGGUUGGGGAUGGACUCGCGGCUUAUCAGCUUGUUGGUGGGGUAGUGGCUUACCAAGGCUUUGACGGGUAGCCGGCCUGAGAGGGUGACCGGCCACAUUGGGACUGAGAUACGGCCCAGACUCCUACGGGAGGCAGCAGUGGGGAAUAUUGCACAAUGGGCGGAAGCCUGAUGCAGCAACGCCGCGUGCGGGAUGACGGCCUUCGGGUUGUAAACCGCUUUCGCCUGUGACGAAGCGUGAGUGACGGUAAUGGGUAAAGAAGCACCGGCUAACUACGUG
Molecule: ribosomal RNA, 467 nt
Filed under: uncultured bacterium
Lineage: Bacteria
Description: partial 16S ribosomal RNA
Rfam family: Bacterial small subunit ribosomal RNA
Source: RNAcentral